GCUGGGUGUAGUGGUGCAUGCCUGUAAUCCUAGCAACUCAGGAGGCUGAGGCAGGAGGAUUGCAAGUUCAAAGCCAGCCUCAG
This 83-nucleotide small RNA is filed under the name Marmota monax (woodchuck). Lineage: Eukaryota; Metazoa; Chordata; Mammalia; Rodentia; Sciuridae. The record is from RNAcentral.